AGCACAUUUCUCCUUGGGAACUCAAGAGCCUAGGAGUACACCUCAGCAGGCACACCAGAGAAGGACCACUCCUGGAUAAGGAUUUGAGCCACUGCCACGACUGCCAUCUCUACACUAUAUUACACACGCCAGCAGAUGUGGGAGGUGGUGAUCAACGUGACUCGUCAGCAGGUGGAGGACUUCCACGGCCCCGCGGACUACUGAUUACUGUGUGUGGCCUAGAGCCACCUGAGGACCUCCAAGAGCUGGCAAGGACACCAUCCGCGUCGCCCAACAUGGACAAACCAAAUCUGACAGGGUGCCCAUCAUCAGCUGCUGUGACGGGCCUUCCAUGGUGUUGCUGUGGUUAUUGCAAGGACAAUCAAAAACUGUUUUAUUUGGUUUAUACAAACCAAAACAAUAUGUAAAUAAACUACACAAUUUGUACUGCUAAAUCCUGAAAUUGUAAGUAGUUAUUAAGUAAUGCCUGUGUGCGUUUGUAUUAAGCACUAUAUAAAAAUACAUUACACAUACGUAAAACCUGUUCUG
Long non-coding RNA from Engraulis encrasicolus (European anchovy), 528 nucleotides. RefSeq lists it as uncharacterized. The record is from RefSeq and is a predicted model, not a curated record. NCBI's taxonomy places the organism in Eukaryota, Metazoa, Chordata, Actinopteri, Clupeiformes, Engraulidae. The transcript has 4 exons.